CAAUAGCGUAUAUUUAAGUUGCUGCAGUUAAAAAGCUCGUAGUUGGAUUUCGGGUGGGAAUGGCCGGUCCGCCGUUUCGGUGUGCACUUGCUACGCCCACCUUGCUGCCGGGGACGUGCUCUUGAGUUCACGCUCGGGACACGGAGUCGGCGAGGUUACUUUGAGUAAAUUAGAGUGUUCAAAGCAGGCCUACGCUCUGAAUACAUUAGCAUGGAAUAACACGAUAGGACUCUGGCCUAUCUUGUUGGUCUGUAGGACCGGAGUAAUGAUUAAGAGGGACAGUCGGGGGCAUUCGUAUUUCAUUGUCAGAGGUGAAAUUCUUGGAUUUAUGAAAGACGAGCUACUGCGAAAGCAUUUGCCAAGGAUGUUUUCAUUAA
Molecule: ribosomal RNA, 377 nt
Filed under: uncultured eukaryote
Lineage: Eukaryota
Description: partial 18S ribosomal RNA
Rfam family: Eukaryotic small subunit ribosomal RNA
Source: RNAcentral